This 402-nucleotide ribosomal RNA is filed under the name uncultured bacterium. RNAcentral describes it as "bacterial SSU rRNA". It matches the Rfam family "Bacterial small subunit ribosomal RNA", at positions 355 to 774 of the family's 1533-position model. The record is from RNAcentral.
UGGGGAAUCUUGCACAAUGGGGGCAACCCUGAUGCAGCGACGCCGCGUGAGCGAUGAAGCCCUUCGGGGCGUAAAGCUCUUUCGACCGGAACGAUAAUGACGGUACCGGGAGAAGAAGCUGCGGCUAACUACGUGCCAGCAGCCGCGGUAAUACGUAGGCAGCAAGCGUUGUUCGGAGUUACUGGGCGUAAAGAGUGCGUAGGCGGUUUUCUAAGUUCGGUGUGAAAUCUCCCGGCUUAACUGGGAGGGUGCGCCGAAGACUGGGAAGCUGGAGUGUCGGAAAGGCAGGCGGAAUUCCUGGUGUAGCGGUGAAAUGCGUAGAUAUCAGGAGGAACACCGGCGGUGUAGACGGCUUGCUAGACCAUAACUGACGCUGAGGCACGAAAGCGUGGGUAGCAAACA